RNAcentral lists this ribosomal RNA (475 nucleotides) under uncultured organism. RNAcentral's name for it is "partial 16S ribosomal RNA". It matches the Rfam family "Bacterial small subunit ribosomal RNA", at positions 332 to 798 of the family's 1533-position model. The record is from RNAcentral.
UACACUCCUACGGGAGGCAGCAGUGGGGAAUAUUGCACAAUGGGCGCAAGCCUGAUGCAGCCAUGCCGCGUGUAUGAAGAAGGCCUUCGGGUUGUAAAGUACUUUCAGCGGGGAGGAAGGCGAUAAGGUUAAUAACCUUGUCGAUUGACGUUACCCGCAGAAGAAGCACCGGCUAACUCCGUGCCAGCAGCCGCGGUAAUACGGAGGGUGCAAGCGUUAAUCGGAAUUACUGGGCGUAAAGCGCACGCAGGCGGUCUGUCAAGUCGGAUGUGAAAUCCCCGGGCUCAACCUGGGAACUGCAUUCGAAACUGGCAGGCUAGAGUCUUGUAGAGGGGGGUAGAAUUCCAGGUGUAGCGGUGAAAUGCGUAGAGAUCUGGAGGAAUACCGGUGGCGAAGGCGGCCCCCUGGACAAAGACUGACGCUCAGGUGCGAAAGCGUGGGGAGCAAACAGGAUUAGAAACCCUGGUAGUCCCAU